Molecule: long non-coding RNA, 365 nt
Filed under: Struthio camelus australis
Lineage: Eukaryota; Metazoa; Chordata; Aves; Struthioniformes; Struthionidae
Description: lncRNA (ENSSCUG00000006716.1)
Source: RNAcentral
CUUUUUUUAAAUUUUCUAUUCCAAAGAAUUCCAUUUUAAAUUAGUUAUAUCAAGGCUUUUGUUAAGCAGGCUGUUUUAUAGACAAGGCAGCCUCAGGGCUUGCUUUUCAAACUUUGUGUCUCUCUGCAAAUUGUGUUUUGAUGCCAGUGGAAGUUUGUGUACAGGGGGCUUUCAGGGUCAAAUUCAGUUCUUGGCAGAGGCAGGUGGUUCAGCAAGAAUCAGCAGGGAGACUGCUUUGGAAGUCUUUUCAUAUGCGUCUGGGAGACGACUGUGAUUACCAGGAGCUCUAACAUUACUGUAUGUAAACAAAUUUCCUUUAAUCCCACAUAUUUCAACAGUGUGUUGUACUGUAAUGGUGAUUAUCU